UACAGAGGUCCCAAGCGUUGUUCGGAUUCACUGGGCGUAAAGGGUGCGUAGGUGGUCGGGUAAGUCUGAUGUGAAAUCUCCGAGCUCAACUCGGAAACUGCAUCGGAUACUAUUCGGCUCGAGGGUUGGAGGGGGGACUGGAAUACUUGGUGUAGCAGUGAAAUGCGUAGAUAUCAAGUGGAACACCAGUGGCGAAGGCGAGUCCCUGGACAACUCCUGACACUGAGGCACGAAAGCUAGGGGAGCAAACAGGAUUAGAAACCCCAGUAGUCC
Molecule: ribosomal RNA, 273 nt
Filed under: uncultured bacterium
Lineage: Bacteria
Description: partial 16S ribosomal RNA
Rfam family: Bacterial small subunit ribosomal RNA
Source: RNAcentral